RNAcentral lists this ribosomal RNA (253 nucleotides) under uncultured bacterium. RNAcentral describes it as "partial 16S ribosomal RNA". It matches the Rfam family "Bacterial small subunit ribosomal RNA", at positions 524 to 776 of the family's 1533-position model. The record is from RNAcentral.
UACGGAGGGUGCGAGCGUUGUCCGGAAUCACUGGGCGUAAAGGGCGCGUAGGCGGCCUGAUAAGUAGGGGGUGAAAUCCUGCGGCUUAACCGCAGGGCUGCCUUCUAAACUGUCAGGCUAGAGCACAGUAGAGGCAGGUGGAAUUCCCGGUGUAGCGGUGGAAUGCGUAGAGAUCGGGAAGAACAUCAGUGGCGAAGGCAGCUCGCUGGGACGUUACUGACACUGAGGCGCGAAAGCGUGGGGAGCGAACAGG